This is a long non-coding RNA of Cucurbita maxima (winter squash), 162 nucleotides long. RefSeq lists it as uncharacterized. The record is from RefSeq and is a predicted model, not a curated record. NCBI's taxonomy places the organism in Eukaryota, Viridiplantae, Streptophyta, Magnoliopsida, Cucurbitales, Cucurbitaceae. The transcript is spliced from 3 exons.
UAAUAUAACCCUGCAUUUUAAUUAAACAAAUGACGAGACCCAAGCAAAACGGUAGGAACCACCAUAAUUGUGAGAAAAUGGAAACAAAAGUGGUGGACCCUCAAUUAUUGUAAUUUCAACGGAGACCAUAGAUUUUGAGAGAGUUUCCAAAGAUUUUGAGAG